GCAUCCCUAGCUCAAUGGUAGAGCAGUUGACUCUUAAUCAAUUGGUUCCCGGUUCGAGCCCGGGGGGGUGCA
Molecule: transfer RNA, 72 nt
Filed under: Verrucomicrobiaceae bacterium
Lineage: Bacteria; Pseudomonadati; Verrucomicrobiota; Verrucomicrobiia; Verrucomicrobiales; Verrucomicrobiaceae
Also listed under: 4 other names
Description: tRNA-Lys
Rfam family: tRNA
About the family: Transfer RNA (tRNA) molecules are approximately 80 nucleotides in length.
Source: RNAcentral